CCUAUUAGCCAUAUCUCAGGGUGAGUGACUCUCCUUUCUUCAUUGUGGUGAUGGUUGGGCCAGAUGGUGGUUGGCUUAGCUCAGGUUAUUGGCAGUUUUCCAUCUGCUGAUCGUUUUCAAAGAGCUCAAGUAUUAAAAAAUAUGCAUUUGACAAAAAUACAUAUGAAGAAAUCAGGCUCAACCCAAAGGUAUCCCUUUUUACUUUAUUCUUUUCUGAAGUAUGACAGAGGAGUCAAAUAAUUCUUUACAACUAUACCAGCAUUGAAACAGUUGAGGUGUUUCAAAUACAUGCUAAACCAAACUCUGGUUUAUAACACAUAAGAAAUGACAGAACUAUCUAAAUGACCAUCUACAAAAAGACCAGUACAUUUUCAAAAAAAAAACAUAGCUCAACCCUCCUUCACGUUCUUCUCUGAUUAAUCUAAAGGGAGACCAGCUGCAGCAGUCUGAAGACAAAUCCCCCUUCGGGCUGUGGAAACUUCUGGAAAGCCAGGACCACACUUAGCAGAGUACCGAGAGAAAUAUCGUUUUCCUUCGAAUGGAUGGAUGGAUGGCCAAGGAUGGAUGGUUCUGUCCAUGGCUGUGCGGAGGGCUCACGAUUCACUUGUGUGGGGGCGAAUCAUCAGCCAGUGCUUCUGGAAUUGGAAGCGUCCCUGGCUUCUGUAAAUAAAUGUAACAUCUGGUGGCACUGAGCCUUCCCCCAGCUCCCUUCUUCGCGACCUUCCUUUGCGGGAGGAAAAACUGUAGAUGCCGUGUCCGUCGGCAACAACAAAGUUAAAAAAAACCAGCCCAACCAAACCUGACCCACCCAACAGAAUCACCAUCGGCAGGAAAUGGGCCCGCUGGAUUCCGCUCUACUUCGGGGGCAGAAAGGAUGCGACAGAUACGUCUAGCAGUCCGACCGUGCCCGAAGACUUUAAAAUCACGCUGUUUUUGAGGGGAUGUGUGUGUGGAGGAGGAGGCACAAAAAAAUGUCUUUGAGCCUGUGAUGGUCAACACCCAGGAGAUGAAAGGCACGUUUUGUGAUUGGUAAUUGUUGUGUAGCACUACACAUGGUGCGAAAAACAACAUCUGCAACUCCAGUCCCACCUCCUUAAAUGUGGGAGAAAAACAAGUGGACAGAUGGAACGGUGUGAUUAUUU
Molecule: long non-coding RNA, 1142 nt
Organism: Anguilla rostrata (American eel)
Lineage: Eukaryota; Metazoa; Chordata; Actinopteri; Anguilliformes; Anguillidae
Exons: 2
Source: RefSeq, a predicted model, not a curated record